RNAcentral lists this transfer RNA (71 nucleotides) under Pachydactylus labialis. RNAcentral describes it as "tRNA-Tyr". Lineage: Eukaryota; Metazoa; Chordata; Lepidosauria; Squamata; Gekkonidae. The record is from RNAcentral.
CUUGAUGAACGAGGGUCGCACCCCUGUGUGUGGGANUACAGCCCACUGCCUCUAGCCUCGGCCACACUUAC